This 431-nucleotide ribosomal RNA is filed under the name uncultured cyanobacterium. Its description in RNAcentral is "bacterial SSU rRNA". It matches the Rfam family "Bacterial small subunit ribosomal RNA", at positions 356 to 804 of the family's 1533-position model. Lineage: Bacteria; Bacillati; Cyanobacteriota. The record is from RNAcentral.
UGGGAAUUUUCCGCAAUGGGCGAAAGCCUGACGGAGCAACGCCGCGUGAGGGAGGAAGGUCUUUGGAUUGUAAACCUCUUUUCUCAAGGAAGAAGUUCUGACGGUACUUGAGGAAUCAGCCUCGGCUAACUCCGUGCCAGCAGCCGCGGUAAUACGGGGGAGGCAAGCGUUAUCCGGAAUUAUUGGGCGUAAAGCGUCCGCAGGUGGUCAGCCAAGUCUGCCGUCAAAUCAGGUUGCUUAACGACCUAAAGGCGGUGGAAACUGGCAGACUAGAGAGCAGUAGGGGUAGCAGGAAUUCCCAGUGUAGCGGUGAAAUGCGUAGAGAUUGGGAAGAACAUCGGUGGCGAAAGCGUGCUACUGGGCUGUAUCUGACACUCAGGGACGAAAGCUAGGGGAGCGAAAGGGAUUAGAUACCCCUGUAGUCAAUCGAA